This is an RNA transcript of Mastomys coucha (southern multimammate mouse), 921 nucleotides long. It is a transcript of the gene named 4-hydroxybenzoate polyprenyltransferase, mitochondrial pseudogene, with no coding region annotated. NCBI's taxonomy places the organism in Eukaryota, Metazoa, Chordata, Mammalia, Rodentia, Muridae. The record is from RefSeq and is a predicted model, not a curated record. The transcript is spliced from 2 exons.
AUGUGCUGUUUAGGCAUCUAUAACCUUUUACAAGUCCUGAGCUUCGGGGGCGGGACCGGUGAGCCCCAGCCACAGGUCGCAGGGCUCAGCCUGUCUGCCACGGUCCUGGUGAACUUGGCGCCUAGCCCGCUCCAGUCCUACCUGUGCCUCGUGUGCCUGGACAAGCCCAUCAGUUACAAGGACAGCAAAUCGCCAAUUGCUGCUGGAGACAUUUCAACCUUCCAGUCCUUCAUCUUCCUUGGGGGACAGCUGACCUUGGCACUGGGUGUUCUCCUGUGUUUGAACUACUACAGUAUAACAAUGGGAGCAACGUCCUUACUUCUUGUCGUCACUUACCCAAUAAGGAAAAGAAUCACGUUUUGACCUCAGACAGCCUUGGGUUGACUUUUAAUUGGGGUGCAUUACUCAGAUGGUCUACUGCCCAGUGCUCCUAUGACCCAGCUGUAUGCCUGCCUCUUUAUUUUUCUGGAGUUAUAUGGACACUGAUAUAUGGUACUAAUUAAUGCUCACCAGAAGAAGAAAGCUGAUGCUCUGAUUGGCCUGAAGUCCACAGCACUGCUGUUCAGGGAGAACACCAAGCAGUGGCUCAGUGGCUUUGGGGUCGCCAUGGUGUGAGGACUGAGCCUGAUGGGAGCCACCAGUGGUACUGUUCCCUACAAUGCUGCUGUGGCUGUGGUGUGGGAGUCCACCAGGCUCACCAGAUUUACACUGUAGACAUCCGCAGAGCAGAGGACUGCUGGGAUAAGUUCACCUCCAACCGCACAGUAGGAAUGCUCCUGAUCUUAGGGAUUGUCCUUAGAAAUCUGUGCAAAGAAAAGACAAAAGAAGCAAAAGAAGCUGAGGCUGUUGGAGUAGAAAGUGAGCAGACAAGCUGAGCUCAGUCCCUCAGGAAGCAGAGGCAGGAAAAGUGUGAGGUCAAGG